This 115-nucleotide small nucleolar RNA is filed under the name Sorex araneus (European shrew). Its description in RNAcentral is "Small nucleolar RNA SNORA72 (ENSSARG00000019266.1)". It matches the Rfam family "Small nucleolar RNA SNORA72". Rfam says of the family: U72 is a member of the H/ACA class of snoRNAs. The snoRNA gene is located in intron 4 of the ribosomal L30 protein gene in human, mouse and chicken. Lineage: Eukaryota; Metazoa; Chordata; Mammalia; Eulipotyphla; Soricidae. The record is from RNAcentral.
UUGUGAAUAUCAUAAUCAGGGCAAUCUAAGCAUUCACUAUAGUAAGACCAUACAUGUGUCCCCAUAUCUAGUUCUUUACCUACCUAGGCUCUUCCAAUAAAUGCUGGUGUUAAAU